Molecule: ribosomal RNA, 309 nt
Filed under: uncultured bacterium
Lineage: Bacteria
Description: bacterial SSU rRNA
Rfam family: Bacterial small subunit ribosomal RNA
Source: RNAcentral
GACGAACGCUGGCGGCGUGCCUAACACAUGCAAGUCGAACGGAGUUAAGAGAGCUUGCUUUCUUGACUUAGUGGCGAACGGGUGAGUAACGCGUGAGAAACCUGCCUUUCAGUGGGGGACAACAGUUGGAAACGACUGCUAAUACCGCAUAAUGUCAUUUGGGGGCAUCCCUGGAUGACCAAAGAUUUAUUGCUGAAAGAUGGGCUCGCGUCUGAUUAGCUAGUUGGUGGGGUAACGGCCUACCAAGGCGACGAUCAGUAGCCGGACUGAGAGGUUGAACGGCCACAUUGGGACUGAGAUACGGCCCAG